GACGAACGCUGGCGGCGCGCCUAACACAUGCAAGUCGAACGAGAGAUGAGGAGCUUGCUCUUCAAAUCGAGUGGCGAACGGGUGAGUAACGCGUGAGGAACCUGCCUCAAAGAGGGGGACAACAGUUGGAAACGACUGCUAAUACCGCAUAAGCCCACGGCUCGGCAUCGAGCAGAGGGAAAAGGAGCAAUCCGCUUUGAGAUGGCCUCGCGUCCGAUUAGCUAGUUGGUGAGGUAACGGCCCACCAAGGCGACGAUCGGUAGCCGGACUGAGAGGUUGAACGGCCACAUUGGGACUGAGACACGGCCCAGACUCCUACGGGAGGCAGCAGUGGGGAAUAUUGCACAAUGGGGGAAACCCUGAUGCAGCGACGCCGCGUGGAGGAAGAAGGGUCUUCGGGAUUGUAAACUCCUGUUGUUGAGGAAGAUAAUGACGGUACUCAACAAGGAAGUGACGGCUAACUACGUGCCAGCAGCC
Molecule: ribosomal RNA, 477 nt
Filed under: uncultured bacterium
Lineage: Bacteria
Description: bacterial SSU rRNA
Rfam family: Bacterial small subunit ribosomal RNA
Source: RNAcentral